GCCCAAGUGGUGAAAUUGGUAGACGCGCUAGACUCAAAAUCUAGUAAGGGCAACCUUGUGCCGGUUCGAGUCCGGCCUUGGGCACCA
This 87-nucleotide transfer RNA is filed under the name Campylobacter felis. RNAcentral describes it as "tRNA-Leu". It matches the Rfam family "tRNA". Rfam says of the family: Transfer RNA (tRNA) molecules are approximately 80 nucleotides in length. Their secondary structure includes four short double-helical elements and three loops (D, anti-codon, and T loops). Further hydrogen bonds mediate the characteristic L-shaped molecular structure. tRNAs have two regions of fundamental functional importance: the anti-codon, which is responsible for specific mRNA codon recognition, and the 3' end, to which the tRNAs corresponding amino acid is attached (by aminoacyl-tRNA synthetases). tRNAs cope with the degeneracy of the genetic code in two manners: having more than one tRNA (with a specific anti-codon) for a particular amino acid; and 'wobble' base-pairing, i.e. permitting non-standard base-pairing at the 3rd anti-codon position. Lineage: Bacteria; Pseudomonadati; Campylobacterota; Epsilonproteobacteria; Campylobacterales; Campylobacteraceae. The record is from RNAcentral.